UGAGGUUUCGGCCAAAUGAUAGGAAUGCUUAGUGGCGGACUGGUGAGUAACGCGUGAGGAACCUGCCUUCCAGAGGGGGACAACGGCUGGAAACGGCCGCUAAUACCGCAUAACAUCACGAAGGCGCAUGCCGUUGUGAUCAAAGGAGCAAUCCGCUUAAGGGUGGGCUCGCGUCCGAUUAGCUAGUUGGUGAGGUAAAGGCCCACCAAGGCGACGAUCGGUAGCCGAACUGAGAGGUUGAACGGCCGCAUUGGGACUGAGAGACGGCCCAGACUCC
This 277-nucleotide ribosomal RNA is filed under the name uncultured bacterium. RNAcentral describes it as "partial 16S ribosomal RNA". It matches the Rfam family "Bacterial small subunit ribosomal RNA", at positions 61 to 339 of the family's 1533-position model. The record is from RNAcentral.